CUACCAAAGAAUCUGUCUGGUGCCAAUCAUGGCGGCAAGAUGCUGGCAGCUAAAGAGAAAUGAAAUAAGCAUGGUAAUUCAGACAAUUUGGCAGAAUGAGGAAAACCACACUCCACAGGACUAUAUCAGUUAGUAUGGUUCAUUACUAUAUUGUGGCCUACAUU
Rattus norvegicus (Norway rat) is the source of this 164-nucleotide small nucleolar RNA. Ensembl annotates it as small nucleolar RNA SNORA4. Lineage: Eukaryota; Metazoa; Chordata; Mammalia; Rodentia; Muridae. The record is from Ensembl.